Molecule: long non-coding RNA, 441 nt
Organism: Mizuhopecten yessoensis (Yesso scallop)
Lineage: Eukaryota; Metazoa; Mollusca; Bivalvia; Pectinida; Pectinidae
Exons: 3
Source: RefSeq, a predicted model, not a curated record
UCGAUGUUGAGUGGUUGAUGGAUAUUUGUGUUUUAAUGUUUUAUGUUUAGGGUCUGGUAAUUAAAGUAUUAUCGCAUUUAUUUGUUUCCCAAUAUUCAAUAUCGAAAGUCAACUCUGAUAGCAAAUGGUAUGAAAAGAACGAUAGUUAUUUUGAGAUGUUGGUAAUACGUCAUUCCAGUCCCGGGAGUACAUUAUACUUGAAGCACAAACUACGUAGGUAUACACUUUGGGCGACAGUGUAGUCCGCUCGCUGUCCUUGAUACGUCCACCAGACUCUCAUGUGUUUAAACACCAAGAGUGCCCACCCGAAGUAUCCACACCUGUUUUUUUACACCUGGCGCGACACCUGAGUACCACACUUCAUCCCGACAGAAUCCCCGGCCGAUUAUGACGAAGGGACAGUGUGCAACACCUUUUUGUAUCGAUUAAUACGUGCAGGGG